Molecule: ribosomal RNA, 301 nt
Filed under: uncultured bacterium
Lineage: Bacteria
Description: bacterial SSU rRNA
Rfam family: Bacterial small subunit ribosomal RNA
Source: RNAcentral
GAUGAACGCUGGCGGCGUGCCUAACACAUGCAAGUCGAACGAAGCGAUUUUUAUGAAGUUUUCGGAUGGAAUAGAGAUUGACUGAGUGGCGGACGGGUGAGUAACGCGUGGAUAACCUGCCUCACACUGGGGGAUAACAGUUAGAAAUGACUGCUAAUACCGCAUAAGCGCACGCUACCGCAUGGUAGAGUGUGAAAAACUCCGGUGGUGUGAGAUGGAUCCGCGUCUGAUUAGCCAGUUGGCGGGGUAACGCCCACCAAAGCGACGAUCAGUAGCCGACCUGAGAGGGUGACCGGCCACA